RNAcentral lists this ribosomal RNA (497 nucleotides) under uncultured bacterium. Its description in RNAcentral is "partial 16S ribosomal RNA". It matches the Rfam family "Bacterial small subunit ribosomal RNA", at positions 28 to 507 of the family's 1533-position model. The record is from RNAcentral.
GAUGAACGCUGGCGGCGUGCCUAAUACAUGCAAGUCGAGCGAACAGACGAGGAGCUUGCUCCUCUGACGUUAGCGGCGGACGGGUGAGUAACACGUGGAUAACCUACCUAUAAGACUGGGAUAACUUCGGGAAACCGGAGCUAAUACCGGAUAAUAUAUUGAACCGCAUGGUUCAAUAGUGAAAGACGGUUUUGCUGUCACUUAUAGAUGGAUCCGCGCCGCAUUAGCUAGUUGGUAAGGUAAAGGCUUACCAAGGCAACGAUGCGUAGCCGACCUGAGAGGGUGGUCGGCCACACUGGAACUGAGACACGGUCCAGACUCCUACGGGAGGCAGCAGUAGGGAAUCUUCCGCAAUGGGCGAAAGCCUGACGGAGCAACGCCGCGUGAGUGAUGAAGGUCUUCGGAUCGUAAAACUCUGUUAUUAGGGAAGAACAAAUGUGUAAGUAACUAUGCACGUCUUGACGGUACCUAAUCAGAAAGCCACGGCUAACUACGUG